UGAAUACGAGACGCUAAGGCGUCGAAGUAGUGUAUAUCAGACUUCCAAGAAAAGCUCGCACUGUCAUAGAUAAAAAAUGCCUGUACCAUAACCGACACAGGUGGGUAGGUAGAGUAUACUAAGGGGCGCGAGAUAACUCUCUCUAAGGAACUCGGCAAAAUAACUCCGUAACUUCGGGAGAAGGAGUGCCUUAUUUAUAAGGUUGCAAUAACAAGAUCCAAGCAACUGUUUAUCAAAAACACAGGUCUCCGCUAAGUCGUAAGACGAUGUAUGGGGGCUGACGCCUGCCCAGUGCCAGAAGGUUAAAGAAGUUGGUUAGCAAUUGCGAAGCUGAUAACUGAAGCCCUGGUGAACGGCGGCCGUAACAAUAACGGUCCUAAGGUAGCGAAAUUCCUUGUCGGGUAAGUUCCGACCCGCACGAAAGGCGUAAUGAUUUGGAUACUGUCUCGGAGAGGGGCUCGGUGAAAUAGACUUGUCUGUGAAGAUGCGGACUACCUGCACCAGGACAGAAAGACCCUAUGAAGCUUUACUGUAACUUGAAAUUGAAAUUGGACUUUAUUCGCGCAGCAUAGGUGGGAGGCGUUGAUUAUAAUCUUGCGGGAUUAUUGGAGCCAUCAGUGAGAUACCACUCUUGUAAUGUUAGAUUUCUAACUUUGAAUCAUUAUCUGGUCAAAGAACAGUUUCAGGCGGGCAGUUUGACUGGGGCGGUCGCCUCCUAAAUGGUAACGGAGGCGUACAAAGGUUUCCUCUGAACGGUUAGAAAUCGUAUCUAGAGUGUAAAGGCAUAAGGAAGCUUGACUGUGAGACCUACAAGUCGAGCAGGGACGAAAGUCGGUCUUAGUGAUCUGACGGUACUGAGUGGAAAGGCCGUCACUCAACGGAUAAAAGUUACUCUAAGGAUAACAGGCUGAUCUCCCCCAAGAGUUCACAUCGACGGGGAGGUUUGGCACCUCGAUGUCGGCUCAUCGCAUCCUGGGGCGGUAGUACGUCCCAAGGGUUGGGCUGUUCGCCCAUGAAAGCGGUACGCGAGCUGGGUUCAGAACGUCGUGAGACAGUUCGGUCCAUAUCCGGUGUAGGCGUUAGAAUAUUGAGAGGAGCCUUCUUUAGUACGAGAGGACCGAGAAGGACAUACCUCUGGUGUACCAGUUAUCGUGCCAACGGUAAACGCUGGGUAGCUAUGUAUGGAGUGGAUAACCGCUGAAAGCAUCUAAGUGGGAAGCCCACCUCAAGAUAAGUAUUCGC
RNAcentral lists this ribosomal RNA (1242 nucleotides) under metagenome. Its description in RNAcentral is "bacterial LSU rRNA". It matches the Rfam family "Bacterial large subunit ribosomal RNA", at positions 1564 to 2815 of the family's 2925-position model. The record is from RNAcentral.